RNAcentral lists this unclassified non-coding RNA (283 nucleotides) under Bombus terrestris (buff-tailed bumblebee). Its description in RNAcentral is "misc RNA ENSBTSG00005029780.1". The record is from RNAcentral. Lineage: Eukaryota; Metazoa; Arthropoda; Insecta; Hymenoptera; Apidae.
AAAUUUAGUAUCAGUCUUGAUAAAGAUGAUUCAGCCGGAGUGACACAGAUAAAUUUCAUUGGUAUGAAUUACGUCCCAUUGCGAACAGUCUAAAAGGAGUUCGUCUAAUUGAAGCUGGAUCUGCUGGAAAAAAAUGGUUGCUUCGAAACACGAUAGAAGUGUCAGUUACAUUUAUUUUUCGCUUACUCCAUGUCUGAAUCUGGUUUAAAGCAUCAUUAAUUAACGAUGACGUAACGUGACCUGUUCACACAUUGCUUCCGGAUUUCAGGCUGACUCAUACGCG